Molecule: non-coding RNA, 115 nt
Organism: Triticum aestivum (bread wheat)
Lineage: Eukaryota; Viridiplantae; Streptophyta; Magnoliopsida; Poales; Poaceae
Source: Rfam
CAAGUACUCCCUCCGUUCGGAAUUACUCGUCCAAGAAAUGAAUGUAUCUAGAUGUAUUUUAGUUGUAGAUACAUCCAUUUUUCUGACAAGUAAUUUCAAACGAAGGGAGUACAAC